Molecule: ribosomal RNA, 338 nt
Filed under: uncultured bacterium
Lineage: Bacteria
Description: bacterial SSU rRNA
Rfam family: Bacterial small subunit ribosomal RNA
Source: RNAcentral
CCGCUUGGCGGCGGCUUACAUUACAAGUCGAACGAUGUCCAUCCGAUCUUCGGAUUGGUGAAGACUAGACGGGCUCGUAACACGUGAGAAACUGCCCCGGUCUCUGGGAUAACAGUUGGAAACGACUGCUAAUACCGGAUCCGUCGGACCGUCGCAUUGCGGACCGACGAAAGGGUUACCGGAUCGGGAGGGUCUCGCGGCCUAUCAGCUUGUUGGUGAGGUAACGGCUCACCAAGGCAUGACGGGUACUGGUCUGAGAGGAUGAUCGCCACACUGGCACUGAGACGCGGCCAGACUCCUAGUGGAUGCAGCUGUGGGGAAUAUCGCACAAUGGGCGA